UACAGAGGGUGCAAGCGUUGUUCGGAAUUAUUGGGCGUAAAGGGUGCGUAGGCGGUGCGGUAAGUCUUUUGUGAAAUCUCCGGGCUCAACUCGGAGUCUGCAAGGGAAACUGCCGUGCUUGAGUAUGGGAGAGGUGAGUGGAAUUCCUGGUGUAGCGGUGAAAUGCGCAGAUAUCGGGAAGAACACCCGUGGCGAAGGCGGUUCUCUGGGACGGUACUGACGCUGGGACGCGAAAGCGUGGGGAGCGAACAGG
This 253-nucleotide ribosomal RNA is filed under the name uncultured bacterium. Its description in RNAcentral is "partial 16S ribosomal RNA". It matches the Rfam family "Bacterial small subunit ribosomal RNA", at positions 524 to 776 of the family's 1533-position model. The record is from RNAcentral.